UACGUAGGGUGCGAGCGUUGCCCGGAUUUAUUGGGCGUAAAGGGCGCGUAGGCGGCCACGCACGUCCGUUGUGAAAUCGCCCGGCUCAACUGGGCGGGGUCAGCGGAUACGGUGUGGCUAGAGCAAGCUAGGGGGCAAUGGAAUUCCCGGUGUAGUGGUGAAAUGCGUAGAGAUCGGCAGGAACACCCAGGGGGAAACCAGUGGACUGGGCAGGCGCUGACACUCAUGUGCGAAAGCGUGGGGAGCGAACCGG
RNAcentral lists this ribosomal RNA (253 nucleotides) under uncultured bacterium. RNAcentral describes it as "partial 16S ribosomal RNA". It matches the Rfam family "Bacterial small subunit ribosomal RNA", at positions 524 to 776 of the family's 1533-position model. The record is from RNAcentral.